Molecule: ribosomal RNA, 254 nt
Filed under: Rhabdothermincola sp.
Lineage: Bacteria; Bacillati; Actinomycetota; Acidimicrobiia; Acidimicrobiales; Iamiaceae
Also listed under: 1 other name
Description: partial 16S ribosomal RNA
Rfam family: Bacterial small subunit ribosomal RNA
Source: RNAcentral
UACGUAGGGGGCGAGCGUUGUCCGGAUUUAUUGGGCGUAAAGAGCUCGUAGGCGGUUUCGUAAGUCGGGUGUGAAAACCCCAGGCUCAACCUGGGGACGCCACCUGAUACUGCGAUGACUUGAGUCUGGUAGGGGAUCACGGAAUUCCUGGUGUAGCGGUGAAAUGCGCAGAUAUCAGGAGGAACACCGGUGGCGAAGGCGGUGAUCUGGGCCAGUACUGACGCUGAGGAGCGAAAGCGUGGGUAGCAAACAGG